AAGGGCACCACAAGAACGCGUGGAGCAUGUGGCUUAAUUUGACUCAACGCGGGAAAUCUUACCAGGUCCGAACACGCUGAGGAUUGACAGGUUUUUAUAAGACUAUUUAUAUAUUUUUCGAAAUAUAUUUAUUGAAAUUCUUAUAUCAAAUAUGCUAGUCCUUUCAUGAUUGCGUGAUAGGUGGUGCAUGGCCGUUCUUAGUUCGUGGAGUGAUCUGUCUGCUUAAUUGCGUUUCACUAAGGGCCUAUAAUCGCUAAAUGUGUUGGAUGCCUUGACCCCUCUAUUAAUUUAGAGCGCGUGUCUUGGCUGGUAGCCCGUUUUAGUAGGUCCUGAAAGCAACGAACGUGACCG
This 351-nucleotide ribosomal RNA is filed under the name Foraminifera environmental sample. RNAcentral describes it as "SSU rRNA". It matches the Rfam family "Eukaryotic small subunit ribosomal RNA", at positions 1160 to 1399 of the family's 1831-position model. The record is from RNAcentral. Lineage: Eukaryota; Foraminifera.